Molecule: long non-coding RNA, 4860 nt
Filed under: Brassica napus (rape)
Lineage: Eukaryota; Viridiplantae; Streptophyta; Magnoliopsida; Brassicales; Brassicaceae
Description: long non-coding RNA (BNAP_LNC009657)
Source: RNAcentral
CCAACACAUUUUGACGACGUGCUUAAGUUGUUUAUUUUAAGAUGGUGAUGUGUUGAGCAUAAGAAAUGUUCCAGAUUCUUUGGCAACUUCCUAUGAUUUUAAGAAAUUUGUUUGCUUAUUUUUUAUUCAGGUCCCAAGAUUAGUGAAAAUGAACAAAGUGCUAAACUGAUGAUUACUUUAGCCACAAGCAAAAAAAAAAAAAUUGUUUAUGAAAUUCAUGUGGGGAAAGCGAAGAUUAUUUCAUUAUUACCGGUACCUUUUUAUCAAAAAAACAAAAAAAAUUACAUAUUUUUGUGAAUGUUAUGUAAGACAAACUAUAAAUAAAAAAUUUGAAGUCAUAGGAACAUCGUCGGCUGAAACAAUACAUUUCUGUUUUUAUGAACAUUUUGACGAGUAUGUUCCAUGUCUAGUUGUAUUCAGUGUAUUGUUUGGUUGCUUUUAUAUCAUCAGCACUCUCCAUAUGGAUUCCUCAUCUGGCUUUUAUCUACCAGUAACAGUUUUAACUAGAUCAUAUAUACACAUAUAUGUAAAACGUAUAUGCAUGUUGUUUUCCUAAAGGAAGUGAUCCAUAAAAACUAUUCUUAUCAAUUAUUUAAAUCCUAAGAGAAACAAAAUUUUCGUUUAUCAUUCAUGUAUGUUAGGCACAAAUUCAUAUACUAUAUGUGGACAAAUAGUCAUAUCGAUACAUACAAUUUACCAACGUGGUUUCAUACAUGAUCUAGGGUUUAUCCUACUAUUUGUACUUUAUUAUUUUCAGAUGAAAAGAAUAAUUAUUUACACUCCAUAUAAUUUUUUAUUCUUGCAGUCUAAAGAUGAAUGAAUAAUGCUAGCACCAAAUGGUGGUUAAUCAUUUUAGUAAUUUAGACCAACCAAAAGAGUUAUUUUUGGGUUCACCAACCAAUAGGAUUUCAUUAUUUAAAAUUUUAUAACUUUUAAAAAAGAAAACAAAAUAUUGUAAAGUUAUAUUAUGUUUUAAAAAAAAAGUAGUUAUAAAAAAAAAUUAAAAAAAAUAUUUUUAACGUCGUGAGCAAAACACUAAACCCUAAAUCCUAAUCCCUAAACCCUAAAUCAUAAACCCUAAACCCUUUGUUAAAUCCUAAACCCUUGGAUAAAUCAUAAACUUUAAAUAAAAAAACACUAAACACUAAAACCCUAAACCCUUGAGUGUUUUAAUGUUUAGUGAUUUUGAUUUAGAGUUUAGGAUUUAUCCUAGAGUUCAAGGUUUACCAAAGGGUUUACGGUUUAGGAUUUAGGGUUUAAGAAUUAGGUUUUAGGGUUUAAUAUUUUACUCACGAUGUUAAAAAUAUUUUUUUGUAAUUACUACUAUUUAAAUUUCUUUUUACCUUUUAAUUUUAAAAAUAUAAUAUAAUUUAACAAUAUUUUGUUUUAUUUUUUAAAAGAUAUCAAAUACAAAAUUAUACAAUCUUAUUGGUUGGUGAACCCACAGGUUCCCCUCCUAGAGCGAACCCAAGAAUAAUUCCGACCAAAAUAAAUACAUGCAUCAUCUCAUAAAAACUCAUUAGCGCGUCCUUUAAAAUUUUAUAUCACAAAUUGGCAUUGUCUAUGGGAUGCUCUUCGCUUGUGUUCUCAUACCCUCAAUUAGGCCUGGGCAAAAUAACCGGAACCGAAGAACCGAACCGGAACCGAACCGAAAUACCCGAAACCGGAACCGGACCAAUACCCUCAAAUAUCCGAACGGUUCUUAUAUUUUUAUAUCCGAAAUAACCGAACCGAACCGGAACCGAACCGAGAACCGAACGGAUACCCGAAUAUAUAAAAAUAUUAAUUAUAUAUACAUAUAACAUCACUAAAUAUAUAUUUUUAAUUUAAAAUUCUUUUAAAAGUAUCUGAAAAUAGUUGAGGAUAACUAAAUUAUUAUAAAGUAUCCAAACUACCCGAAAGUAUCCGAAACUAUCCGGAUAGUUUUAUCCGAAAUGUCCAAAGUAAUCCGAAAUAUCCAAAAUUUUUAUGUAAAUCAUCCUAAUUAUUUAAUAUUUUACCCUAAAUAACCGAUAUUUUAUCCAAAUUAUCCGAACUAUCCGAACUAUCCGAACCCGAACCGGAUCCAAAUGAGAACCGAACUUUUUCCGGAUAUUUUCCGGUUCCUAAAUUUACUAUCCGAACCGAGCCGAACCCGAAACUAUCCGAACCGAACCGAACCGAAAAUAGGUCAAGUACUAAAUGGAUCCUCUAGCCCCUAUCCGAACUACCCGAAACCCGAAAUACCCGAACCGAACCGAACCGAUACCCGAAAUGCCCAGGCCUACCCUCAAUAUUACUAAACCUAACAAAUCCAUCUUCAAUAGGCCCACUGGAAAUCCAUAGUUACUCCUAGACACAAAAACAAAGAUGUAACAUAUCACAUUUAUCAUGUAAUUAAUUAUAUUCUAAUUUGAGCGAUGAUCCUGAAAUUGUACUACGGUAAAAAGUCUAUAAAUUAAUUAUGGUGGGUCUAUAUUUUUUUAUUAAUUUGCAGAAUUAUUAAUUUAGAAAAAAUCAGUUUUUCUGAUUUUUUUAUGAUAAAAUAUUUUUUAUAAAACAAGAAAAUAUUUGAUUCUAAAUUUUUGAAAUGGUAUUUUCGUAUAGCUUUUACGUAUAUAAAAUAUGUUUCAAAGACUUUAAUUUUCGUUUUAGAUAUAAAUUUACUAAAAAUCAUCAAAAUAUAUUGAAAUCAACAAAUUCCAUUUUAUCACGAUGUCUUUUUAUUGUGAAAAAAAAGAUUCACCUAGUUUUUUUGUUGAUAAAAUGUGAAAUUUAUUGAUCAAUGAAUAAUAGUAAAAAUUUACAAAAGGUUGUGAGAGACUAUAAGAGAUAUAAAAGAAAAACUAUACAAUACAUGUAAAAAUGAAUUUCAAGAUCCUGUGAGCUAAGCCGUAACUUCGAACCACCGACACAUCAAGUCUGUAAACUUGUGGUCAGCCUUAUAUCGUAGAGAAGUAAUCCUAUUUCGCAUAGCCUUAUCAAUGAUCUGAACCACAUGUUCCACUGUCCGAAACCCCGUUUGGUGUAUUCUCUCAUUCCUCUCUUUCCAAAGAUUCACCUAGUUACAAAACUGUCGUAGCUAAAUAUAAAAAUAAAUUCGAUUUUUAUCGACAAAGUUAAAUUUCAGGCAAUUGUUACAUUUUGAACAAAUAAUUUAUAAACCAAGGGAUUCCAAAUAUUAGUAUUGUUAAUAUUUCCUCCAAUAUCUACCGUCCUUGAAAUUUAUUGGGUAGUCGGCUACCAAUCCGACCAUAUUUAAUUGUGUAAUUGAGGCUAUAUAUUUUGGUUAGAUAAAAAGCAUUCAGAAUAAACAACAACAUCAGUUAGUGAGGAGUAAAAAAGAUCUAUAAAAUUCUAAUACACAUAUAUGGGUUUUGGAUUUAAUAUGCACUACAAUAGAAUUAUGUCAAGAAUGUUUUAUUUCAAUUCAGCUUAAUUACUCAAAAUUAUCUUGUUGGUGUACAGACUAUUUCACUAAAAAGAAAACUACAAACAUACAUCAACAAUUUUUCAAUGUUUCACCAAUAUGAAACUAAUGAACCGAAUUCCAUAUAAAAAUGACUAAAUUUAAUUUAAAUGCAAAUUAUUGGAUAGCAAAAUGUAAUUAUUUCAAAUUUAGAGUGAGUUUGAACAACAUCAACCAAUAAAUAGGUGCACCAAAAAGUAGCCAAAUUUUAUUGGUAUUAUAAAACCAUAAAAUAGAGGAAGCAACAACAACAGAAAAUCAAAAGACAAUUUCAUCAAAAAAAAACAAUAGCAAUGAAUCAUGUUGCUUGUUAAAGAAUAAUUUAAAAAUUAGUAGUAGGGCAUUUUGUAGGAAGGAGAGUAGUAUGGUGGAGGUGGUGGGGAGCUGUAGACGUAUGGAGGUGGUGGAGACUUGUACUCUACCUUCGGAGAGGGAGAGUAGUAUGGCGGAGGUGGUGGGGAGCUGUACACGUAUGGUGGUGGUGGAGAUUUGUAUUCGGCCUUAGGAGAAGGAGAGUAGUAUGGUGGAGGUGGUGGAGAGUUGUAAAGGUAUGGUGGUGGCGGAGACUUGUACUCUACCUUCGGGGAAGGAGAAUUGUAUGGUGGCGGUGGUGGAGAGCUGUAUACAUAUGGCGGUGGUGGAGACUUGUAGUCUACCUUCGGGGAAGGAGAGUAGUAUGGUGGAGGUUUUGGGGAGCUGUAGACGUAAGGCGGUGGUGGAGAUUUGUAUUCGACCUUCGGGGAAGGAGAGUAGUAUGACGGAGGUGGUGGGGAACUGUAGAUAUAUGGUUUUGGAUGUGGUGUAUAUUUAGGGCCUUGUCUUCUAUAUUGUGGUGGAGGAGAUGGUGGUGCCGAGUAAUAUGGGGAAUUCUUUUUGGGUGGAUAUGGUGAUUUGGUUUUAUGGACUGGGGGAUAUUUCUGUGUUGUUGGGGGAGAUUCAUAAGGGUAAGCUGCAGCUACGAUGGCGCUAAAGACCACAACAUAAACCAUGCAAUGCGCUAAUCCACUAAUUUUUGGGGAUCUCAUUCUACCCGUAGCUGUUCUUUUAGUUUCUCUUCUUUGUUAUGAUAUAGUUCAACGUGAAGUCCCUUGAUAUAUAGUCGCUUUUUGUGUAAAGUUUAUAUUAUUCUCCCCACUUUGGUUCGUGUGUGAACCAGAAGAAUGGCCAGCUUUUGCAAGUUAUUUGGAAGAUAUCACGAAUCUGAAAGAAUGAGCAUAAGAAAUGUUCCAGAUUCUUUGGCAACUUCCUAUUAUUUUAAGAAAUUUUGUUUGCUCAUUUUUUAUUUAGGUCCCAAGAUUAGUGAAAAAUGAACAAAGUGCUAAACUGAUGAUUAUUUUAGCCACAAGGAAAAAAUAAUAAUUGUUUUAUGAAAUUCAUGUGGGGAAAGCGAAGAUUAUUUCAUUAUUACCGGU